GAAAAGAAAGCAAAAGCGAUUCCCCAAGUAACGGCGAGUGAACAGGGAUAAGCCUAGCGCUAAGGCUUAAUGUGGCUGUCGCAAGGCGGCCAACUAAGACAACAUUAAGCGGUGCAGCGUUACAAACUCUGGUGUUUGUAGUGUCAAUGUGGCACAUCGGGCAACUGGUGUGUUACUUUCGGCCUAGCGUACAAGUCCCAUUGACUUGGGCUUAUUCUUAAUUGAGAUGUCUACGUGUUUGGGGCAACCUGGACACGUGGAUGAGCCAUAGAGGGUGAAAGUCCCUUAAUGCGCGGGUAUUGAUGCUACUAAUCAGAGCAGUGGUGUCUGGUAAAACAGGCAUUGCGGUUUAUUAGAGUCGGGUUGCUUGAGAGUGCAACCUAAAGAGCGAGGUAAACUGCUCGUAAGGCUAUGUAAAUACGGCUACGACACCGAUAGCAAACAAGUACCGUGAGGGAAAGUUGCAAAGUACUUUGAAGAGAGAGUUAAACAGGGCGUGAAACCGCUAGCUGGUAAACGAGUGGAGCCACGAAGUCGUUUCGUAGAAUACGGGGCGCAAAUUCAGCUGUGGUCUCCUCGUGGGGCCUCAGCGUAUUUUUGCUUGUCUCGCUACUGUAAGCGUACACUGCAACCAAUUAGACGGCCAAACGUGGAAACAGUUUGCAAGUCGACAGGGAAACUUGUUGCUUGUAAACGUAAAAAUUUAUGUAUCUACUGUAGGUAGCUUGGUUAGAGUCUUGUAUUUUAUCCGGGUGUCUGAUGGCUAGAUACGUGAACUACGUUUGGGUACUGAUUGGCAAAAGGAAAAUCGAAUCGCAAGAUUCGUUUGUUCAUAGAAAGCGUCCAGCAUCGUAUAUGGGUACAAUUGCGCGCCGCUAGUGUAAGCUUGAUAUUUUUGAAUUCAGGCACGUAUAUUGUGAUCGGGCUUGUCUUGUUCAUAUAUGCGCUGUCUCCUGUCUAAUCGGGUAUUAACUUUACUGGCGGUCUCGAUGUAAUUGCUAUGAUAGCCUGUAUGCGAUAGUUGGUCUGCAAGCAUUAGCAG
RNAcentral lists this ribosomal RNA (1042 nucleotides) under Novophytoptus cf. rostratae F102. RNAcentral's name for it is "eukaryotic LSU rRNA". It matches the Rfam family "Eukaryotic large subunit ribosomal RNA", at positions 56 to 635 of the family's 3401-position model. The record is from RNAcentral. Lineage: Eukaryota; Metazoa; Arthropoda; Arachnida; Trombidiformes; Phytoptidae.